This 969-nucleotide ribosomal RNA is filed under the name uncultured eukaryote. RNAcentral describes it as "SSU rRNA". It matches the Rfam family "Eukaryotic small subunit ribosomal RNA", at positions 790 to 1674 of the family's 1831-position model. The record is from RNAcentral.
AAUGCCUGAAUAUUUUGUGCAUGGAAUAAUGAAAUAAGACCUCUGUUCUACUUUCAUUGGUUUUUAGAUCAAGAGGUAAUGAUUAAUAGAAGCAGUUUGGGGGCAUUAGUAUUACGACGCGAGAGGUGAAAUUCUUGGACCGUCGUAAGACUAACUUAAGCGAAAGCAUUUGCCAAAGAUGUUUUCAUUAAUCAAGAACGAAAGUUAGAGGUUCGAAGGCGAUCAGAUGCCGCCCUAGUUCUAACCAUAAACGAUGCCAGCUAGCAAUUGGGUGUAGCUACUUUCAUGGCUCUCUCAGUCGCUUCCCGGGAAACCAAAGCUUUUGGGCUCCGGGGGAAGUAUGGUUGCAAAGCUGAAACUUAAAGGAAUUGACGGAAGGGCACCACCAGGAGUGGAGCCUGCGGCUUAAUUUGACUCAGCACGGGAAAACUUACCAGGUCCGAACAUAAGUGUGUAAGACAGAUUGAUAGCUCUUUCUCGAAUCUAUGGGUGGUGGUGCAUGGCCGUUCUUAGUUCGUGGAGUGAUUUGUCUGGUUAAUUCCGAUAACGAACGAGACUCAAAUAUAUUAAAUAGAUGCUUUCAGGAUUAUGGUGCUGAAGCUUGUGUAGCCUUCAUUCAUGACUGCAGUAAAAUGUAUAAGUGUUUGAAUGUGUUUAUUCAAGUGGAGCCGUACCUGUUGGUUUGUCCCAUUAUAAGGACACUAGCUUCUUAAAUGGACAAAUUGCGUCUAGCAAUAAUGAGAUUGAGCAAUAACAGGUCUGUAAUGCCCUUAGAUGUCCUGGGCUGCACGCGCGCUACAAUGAAAGUAUCAACGUGUAUUUCCUAGACCGAGAGGUCCGGGUAAACCGCUGAACCACUUUCAUGCUUGGGAUUGUGAACUGAAACUGUUCACAUGAACUUGGAAUUCCCAGUAAGUGUGAGUCAUUAACUCGCAUUGAUUACGUCCCUGCCCCUUGUACACACCGCCC